Molecule: ribosomal RNA, 619 nt
Filed under: uncultured fungus
Lineage: Eukaryota; Fungi
Description: eukaryotic LSU rRNA
Rfam family: Eukaryotic large subunit ribosomal RNA
Source: RNAcentral
UUGACCUCAGAUCAGGUAGGGAUACCGCCUGAACUUAAGCAUAUCAAUAAGGCGAGGAACAGAAACCAACUGGGAUUCCCUCAGUAGUGGCGAACGAAGCGGGAAGAGCUCAAGUUUGAAAUCUGAGGGGCAGCCUUCAGAGUUGUAAGCUGAAGAGGCGUCGACCGACUUGGCCCGAGCCCAAUUCUCUUGGAACAGAGAGUCGUGGAGGGUGAGAACCCCGUCCGUGGCUCGGGAGCCUAGUCCUAGCGUCGUGCCCUCGAAGAGUCGGGUUGUUUGGGAAUGCAGCUCAAAAUGGGUGGUAAAUUUCAUCUAAGGCUAAAUAUUGGCGAGAGACCGAUAGCGAACAAGUAGAGUGAUCGAAAGAUGAAAAGCACUUUGAAAAGAGAGUGAAACAGUACGUGAAAUUGUUGAAAGGGAAGCGUUUGGCAUCAGCCCGUGGCGUCCGUCGAUCAUCUGUGCCUCUGCACGGUGCACUCGGCGGUCGUCGGGCCAACGUCGUCUCCGUCCGCUGGAGAAAGGCCUUGGGAAUGUGGCUCUCUGGAGCGUUAUAGCCCUCGGCGCAAUGCGGCGGAUGGGGUCGAGGUCUGCGGUUCAACCGAGGACGUUGGCUUAAUGG